This 136-nucleotide unclassified non-coding RNA is filed under the name uncultured Ascomycota. Its description in RNAcentral is "sequence contains ITS2". Lineage: Eukaryota; Fungi; Ascomycota. The record is from RNAcentral.
GCAACACUGAGGCUCAGCCUUGCGUUGGCAGACUACUGUGGUAGCUGCCCAAACCCAGACGGCGCCGCCCCGCGGCCGACGAUGCGCACAAGCAGAAGUCAGUCGCGACGGACGGCAGCCUUGUAUCAAAUUUCAA